GUGGAGUAGAGCGUCUGGCGGAGGACGGUAGCGGAGACGCCGGUGAAGAGCGCGGCGGCGCCUUCGGAUCGGAAGAUCUGGGCGCCGACGGCGAUGGGGCCAGGACGGGGCGGCGGAGCCGCCAAGGAAACCGAUCCGCCGCCGGGGGAGUGAAAGGCGAGCGCCGGGCGGAGGUUGGCGGCGGCGGGAAUGGGGGCGGGCUCGCCCUGGAGCUGCAUCCUGACCUUGAUGAGGUCAAGGGGGUGAGUGGAGCAGCCGGCGACGAUGGAGGCGAUGCCGCCCUCGAGGAAACCCUUG
Molecule: unclassified non-coding RNA, 297 nt
Filed under: Hevea brasiliensis (rubber tree)
Lineage: Eukaryota; Viridiplantae; Streptophyta; Magnoliopsida; Malpighiales; Euphorbiaceae
Source: RNAcentral